AACAUUGCUCUAGACAAUCCCGAAGAAUACCAUGGUCAGUGAGUGGUAUUGAGUCUGCUGAGAAGUCCAGGAGAACUAAAAAAUAAUGUACAUUCAUAUUGCCCAAUUCCCGGCAUAACUUAUCUACCAGGACUUCUUAGGGCUCUGGCCAUGUGCGAGUGCUAAUUAGUUGGAAUAAUGGGCACACACAUCCCUUAAAUGCCUUGGGGAAGAGAAUGCAGGUUCUCCCAUAUGUCAGCAUAAGUCAGAUCUCGUUACGUAAUAACUAAUAAGCACAACAGUCGCGUAUUUAUCCGGAAACGAUUGCUUUCUAAAGCUUCAGCAUGGACUGAGCUAGAAAUACGAACGUUUUUAUUUUGGUAUGGGUGAAAAACAGUUUUAUAUGUUUAUUGUAUUGCUUUGAGGUUGUGUGGGAUGAAAUCCUGGCCCUAUUGAAAUCCGUGGGAGUUUUUGGCAAGCACCUCUCAGUGCGAGCAGCAUGUAACAGUUUUACACGUAGAAGUCUGUCUCUCUUUAAACUAGGAGCAGAUUUUAUUCCCUUGGAUUUGCCCCUUUUGGAUCUGCCUCAUCCCAAGGGGUCAACCAAAAAGCUAACACGUACCUAAUAGCAUCUUAAAUUCCAGUUUUAAAGAAACCCAACAACUCUGGAGGUUCUUUGAACUGUUUUUCAGCCAAUAAGACUAUCAGAGGUAUAAAUGAAAAGAGUAUGCACAGUUAACAUCAUACGUUAAUUCUGGGCUUUUUGUACAGCGAGUUUCUCCCAUGCAUUGUGAAUUUUCUCGAAUAAUAAGUAUUUUGUGUGUGGAAUAUCAUUCUUGUGUCAUAGCCAACAGGGUGUGAACGCUUAUAUCAGGCAUAGGCAAAGUCAGCCUUCCAGAUGUUUUGGGACUACAACUCCCAUCAUCCCUAGCUAACAGGACCAGUGGUCAGGGAUGAUGGAAAUUGUAGUCUCAACCCAUCUGGAGGGCUGACUUUGCCUAUGCCUGGCUUAUAUGAGCAUCUCGUAUUUUGAUUUUUGAGAUCUAGAACCCAUAUUGUAGGAGUGGGGGGUGUUUUUCAGCCUGAGGGUGGUAUUCCUGCAUCAGUAACCUUCCAUGGACCACAUGUCCAUCAGCGAUGGGCAGGGCCAGAGACGGAAAGUGGGAGUGACCAGAGGUAAAUGUGAGUGGUUUCUUUGUCCCGUGUAGCGGCAACCUGAGACCUGCGUAGCAUCUAGUAUAGCGGGGGGUUGCCAGCCUUUUGGGGUUUGUGGGGCACGUUUCUAAACCAGAGAAACUGCCAUAGGAGCCACACAUACCACAACCAAACAUACAGUGCAACUGAUUCUGUUGGCUAUAAUAGAAUGCUUCUUUCAGUUCCUCAUUUCAGCAGAGGGAAGGGGAGGAGAGACCCCUGCAGGCGCAAGGGAAGGUCUCUGUGGGCGUGAGAUCCCCAUAGUACAGUCUAAUCCAAUUAAGCCUGCCAUCUCCUCCUCCGCUCUUAUCUCAAGACUCUGACUAAAUGCAGACUUUGUGGCCUUGGUAUCAAGACAGUUUCCUCUCCUUUCACCAUUUUGUUCGCCAUUGUUUCUGAUGAAGCGUUUGGUGAAUUCAAAAGCCUGGUCGCUUCUUUUGUGACGUUUUGGCUGGUCCUAAUAAAAAAAAUAAAUGCCCAGCUAUGGGUUUUGAAAUUAUAAUGCAUGAAAACCAAAACUGCGGAGCGGAGCUUUGAAAUGAAAUUGUGCUUAUGAUCUUUUUCGGCGGUGACCUAGAAAUAAUUUCUCCUGACUUGCGGAGAUGAAAUGUUAUGGACAUCUUGUCCUUGUGAGUGGCAGGGCUGCAACUGCUAAAAUUCCCAGGCCUCUGA
This is a long non-coding RNA of Podarcis raffonei (Aeolian wall lizard), 1845 nucleotides long. RefSeq lists it as uncharacterized. The transcript has 2 exons. The record is from RefSeq and is a predicted model, not a curated record. Lineage: Eukaryota; Metazoa; Chordata; Lepidosauria; Squamata; Lacertidae.